This 114-nucleotide ribosomal RNA is filed under the name uncultured bacterium. Its description in RNAcentral is "partial 16S ribosomal RNA". It matches the Rfam family "Bacterial small subunit ribosomal RNA", at positions 1390 to 1500 of the family's 1533-position model. The record is from RNAcentral.
CCGCCCGUCACAUCAUGGGAGUUGGCUUUACCCGAAGGCGGUGCGCUAACCAGCAAUGGAGGCAGCCGACCACGGUAGGGUCAGCGACUGGGAUGAAGUCGUAAACAAGGUACC